AUUGAACGCUGGCGGCAGGCCUAACACAUGCAAGUCGAGCGGAUGAGAGGAGCUUGCUCCUUGAUUUAGCGGCGGACGGGUGAGUAAUGCCUAGGAAUCUGCCUGGUAGUGGGGGAUAACGUUCCGAAAGGAACGCUAAUACCGCAUACGUCCUACGGGUGAAAGCAGGGGACCUUCGGGCCUUGCGCUAUCAGAUGAGACUAGGUCGGAUUAGCUAGUUGGUGAGGUAAUGGCUCACCAAGGCGACGAUCCGUAACUGGUCUGAGAGGAUGAUCAGUCACACUGGAACUGAGACACGGUCCAGACUCCUACGGGAGGCAGCAGUGGGGAAUAUUGGACAAUGGGCGAAAGCCUGAUCCAGCCAUGCCGCGUGUGUGAAGAAGGUCUUCGGAUUGUAAAGCACUGUAAGUUGGGAGGAAGGGCAGUAAGCUAAUACGUUGCUGUUUUGACGUUACCGACAGAAUAAGCACCGGCUAACUUCGUG
RNAcentral lists this ribosomal RNA (484 nucleotides) under uncultured bacterium. RNAcentral's name for it is "partial 16S ribosomal RNA". It matches the Rfam family "Bacterial small subunit ribosomal RNA", at positions 30 to 507 of the family's 1533-position model. The record is from RNAcentral.